CAUAAUUUCCCCAGAACACAAUUACUGUAUUGUAACAUGAGUCCUAUUUUUCUCUUGUGCACUUCUUUGCUCAGGGCUUGACUUGAAGCUCUGUUUCUUUACAACUUUAAGUCUUGUGCUAUGAAAUAUUUACAGAUAAACUCUGGAAAAGUGGUAAAAUGAUUUCUACACUAAAGUCUUGAAUUACUGCUCUCCUGUUCACCUACUCCCAGUCUAAUUGCUAGACCACUUCCUUUCUUUGUGCGUAAGAGAUUAAAGUAUUCUUCAGAAAUACACACUUCCUUCCUCUAUCCAUACAGAAGAUUCUGGCAGUGAUGAAGACUUCCUCGUGGAAGAUGAUGAUGACAGUGAUUAUGGCAGUUCAAAAAAGAACAAAAAAAAGGUGGCCAAGAAAUCAAAGCCAGAGAGGAAAGAAAAGAAAAUGCCUAAGCCCAGGCUAAAAGCUACAGUGACACCCAGUCCGGUGAAAGGCAAAGGGAAGGCAGGCCGCCCUACAGCCUCAAAGGCAUCGAAAGAGAAGACCCCAUCCCCCAAAGAAGAAGAUGAAGAGCCUGAAAGCCCACCAGAAAAGAAAAAAUCAUCUAGCCCUCCUCCAGAGAAAUCAGGGGAUGAAGGGUCUGAUGAUGAAGCAGCCUCUGGUGAAGAUUAAAUGGCAGUUUGGGGAGAUUGUUUUGUUUUUUUAAAAAAAUAAAAUAAAAAGAGGAAAAGAAAACUUACUUAGGGGUAGAACACGGUUUUGGCUGUGGCUUGACUCAUGGGCUUUGAAUGCUGUCUUUAUUUUGAAUUGUUUAAUACAGUGUCCUUUUAUAAAGAGAGAACCCUUAUACAGUAAUUUUUUUUUAAUCACUGUUCUCCAUUGGCCAAUCCAUUCUUGUCUCCCACCAAAUCUGAAAACCAUUUAAAAGUAAUAAAUGGAUCACUUACUAAAAAUACAUAUUUUGAAGGGAUGUUGCAGUUUUGAAGCAAUAACAUAUGAGGCCGCUGCUUGGAAUUAUAUUUGCAAAUCAAGUAACAGAUUUCCCAAAGCUGGAAAGGGUCCUUCAAAACUACUGUUCCUUAUUGGAACACUCAACAAAUUCACCUUUUAGCACGUGUUUUCAGUUGACAACUUCCCUCACAAAAAAAGGAGAUUAAUGAAUUCUAAAUAAGACCAUAAUUACCCAUAUCUGAGCUUGUUGGGUUCAUGCAACUAUUUUAAUAGGGAAUAUUCUGGAGUCUUACUUUUGUGUUUCAUCCUUCAGAAAGGACUCAUCCAAUAAGGACAGGAUACCAUUUGCUUUUGACUGGGUAGAAUUGCAUUCUGCUCUUGGCAAACUGCGUUCCUUAGGCUUCAGACCUGCAACCCACCAGCUGCUCAAACCCGUUAUCCCUGUCACUUCAUGGCUGGAUAUAGUUAGGCAGAGCAUGGGAGGGAGAGUGUAAAACAAUUUUAAAGCUUAGUUUACUUAUGGUAUCACGGGAGGCUUUUAUUCCUUAAAAUCAUUUUAUGCAAAAAAAUUGACUUAAACUAGAGUUUAGUCUGAGAUUUGGGGGGAGGGAGGGUGGUCAUUUUAUAAAUUUGAAGUGAUGGAUUCCUGUAAGGCCACAGUCUCAGAUCCCAUGAGUCAUGCUUAAGUGUUUCUCUCCUCUCUUUCCGUCUGUCCUCAGAAAGGCUAUGUAGUCAUACCUCUCAACCCUCUUCAGCUGUAGUGUUUGGAUGGCAGACUCCCACCAGUAUAGAACAUAACUUUAUCCCAUCAUCAGUUCCAUUUCUUCUCCUUCCUGCAGUGUGGACUGCUUUUUAUGCUGUUCUCACACCCCGAUGUCUGCGCCUAAAGUAGUCAGCAUUCUGCUACCUAAGCCAAAACACUGGCUGAGUAGGAAUUGGCGCACUAACAGGAUAAAACUAGGAGGGAACUGUGUUGAUGGCAGGGUAGUAGCAGGACUGUGAUGCAUAACAAAAGCAGACUGUCCCACCAAAUUCAAUACACUUGAUGUCAGUGCAGUGGCAUUUUAAUGUGUUUCUUUCAAAGCAGCCAUAUCUCCUUUAACCCUUAUGAAUAAAAGUACACAGGAUUUUUCCUUGAAGUCUUGAUACGGGGACUACAGUAUUUGUUGGUGGAAAUAUAAGAAACUAGACUUGACACCUUUUUAACCCUUUAUGCUUUCUAUCUACCUUGCACGUUCUCUCCUAGCUGGCAAGCUUGACAGUCAUAAUCUUUUCAGUCAAUGAGGUGAAUUGUAUGUGUUCUUAAACCAGCCUCUUCAAGGUAACAAGACAGAGAGUUGGAUUUCUGGGGUACGUGUUACUGGAUUUUUAAGCUUGUUGGAUUUCUGAAAGCUUUCAGACGGGACGCACUACUAUGAUCUGGGAGGAGAACUGGCAGAGUAUCCCACGGAGCCUAAUGUCACUGAGCUAAAAAGACAGCUUGCAGCCAAGUUGUUUUUACCUGAUUCAUAGCUGUUAACUUAAUUGGGAGGCUGUAUUUUACCUUGGCGUAUGCAUUUUAAGUUCUCUAAUUGAGACUAUCUUUGCCACUGUCAUAAAGGCUACCAGUGUUUUCAUAAUAAAUCUCUAUUCUUAGGGGUUUAACUUUUUUGGCAGUACAACUUCAGGCUGGACUGUGAUAUGACUGUCUUGAGCAAGAAGUGAAUGUAUAACUUUCCCAUCCGAAUAUUAGGAGAGCAAAGUCUCUUGCAAUCUUUAAGUGAAACUUUACAGCUCAUAGUCCUGUAAUUCUUUAGUAAUGUACAAAAAGAUUAAAUGACCAACUUCUAAACAGUCAGCUAUGUGGCUACUGUGCAUAUAAAUUCACAUUUUUGGGUAACCUGCUCUUCCAUGACUGUCUUUCUGGUCCAUGCAGAUGGUUCCUCUCAAUACAAACUACAAAUAUACACACUUAAGCCUUUCUUGUCUAUUGGGUUGUUGGUUCACACCUGUUUUGUUUUGUUUUUAAAUGUACAAGAUUUACCUAAGAAUAGAAUGCCUCCAGUAGUAGAUCUGGUCAAUCAGCUAAAUGUCUUUUUAAUUGUCUAAAUACAUUUCACCCUUAGACCAGAAUUUGUUCUGAAGGGUGCAAGUUUUAUUUCCAUGAAAGCAUAUUUUCCUUUUUUUAAUGAAAGUUAAACUAAUGUCCAGGCUGUGAGAUAUAUGUACCUGAAACCUGGAAAUUAAGUGUUCAUAUUUGACCUCUGUUGAUAAACUCAAGUCUGUGGACUAUGGAUUCUCUCAUAACUGGCAAUUAUGGCCCUGAAUCUUUCAGUUGUUCUGCUUGUGUAUUCUUGACUAAUGGCGGACAUGUCAGGAUCGUAGGGUUCUUAAUUUUGAAUCUGUCACAAUCUGAACACUAUGUAAAUGCUACAUUUUUGUUUGGAUUUUUGUAACUGUUUCUCAGUAGGCUAGUGUUUCGAUAGUACGUACAAACACUAAAUCCUAGUGGUCUAGAUCCACUUGUCUCCAGGUUACGUUCUCAAUUGGAAGUAGAGCAGUUCAUUUUUUCUGUGGGUUGAAGAAAAUUGUGAAGACAAAGUUGCUGGUAUUUUUAAGAUGGGCUGAGCAUUUCUCAUUAGCAGUAGACUAACUUUUUAAGCAUGUAAUUUUAAAUGUUUUGUUUCCAAGCAUAUUAAUUCAGUGAAGAAAAGUAGCAAGGCACCUCUUUUUAUGGGGAGGAUAGGACUGGGUUUCUACUUCAGAAUAGUUUUCUAAUGAACAAAACAGAUUGCUGUUCUCUCCUGCCCAUCUCCCCAGAUCAGUAAAGGGUUAAGUACCUUGGAUGAAUUAUGAUCUGUUGCCUAGGUGUACCUUUGGAGCAUCUCCACUGAAAUGAAUGGACUUACUCCAGAGUUGCAAAUAAUCUAGCACCUGUCCUGGUCCCCAUCCUAAAAUGGCAGCUUAUCCAUUAACUUCUGCCAGGUACCUUUUGAGCUUUCUGCUUUGGGACCCCAUGAGAUUUGAGUUUGCAUUUGUAUACAAAUAGUAAUGUCUUUAACAGGCCAUUACGUGUGGCCAACAAAGGUGUACAAGCAAGAUUUCAUUGAUGUGUGGAAAUGGGUGCACUAAAUCUUAAUAUCAAAUAUAGCUUUAUCGAAUUUCUGUUCAAAUUGAUUCUAUAAAUUCAACAUACAUGUCAAUUCCUUUCAACAGAGGAAUUUAAGUUAAAAUUAGAUGGGGUUAGGGUUUAGAGUGGAGGGUGAAAGCAGAAUUUAAAUGUAUGGGCCGCUUAGGAGGCUUUUAAUAAGUAAGAUCAAACUAUCAUAUUGAAGCAGAGAAGUGUGUUGGGGAGGGCAAAUGGCUUACUUCCUCUAGUAUAUCUACUGCUGACCUGGGGUGAAUGGAAGGGUAGGUAAUUUGUUCUAAAAGCAUGCUCAGUUUCUGCACCACCAGGUAGCUGCACAGGAAGCAAAGAACUGUUUGUCCAGGGGCGGGAACAGAAGGUAUUUGGCAACAGCUGCUAACCCACAUGUACAGUGGACCAUUCGGCUAAGGAGAAACCAACAUGCUGGAAGCUUUUAAGCUGUAGAAUUGGUGCUUUGCUUCAUGUAACUUGUCUGUAGAAGGUUUAUUUUUAUAACAAAUCCUAUUGAUGAACAUGGUUUUUCAAAAACAAAUUUCUGACUUUCACUACUGCAAAGUGGAUGUUAGUGCAUCUGACACCAAUUACAAACAGUGAUAGUGUCUUUGGAAAGCAUCUCCCAGAAUCUACCAUGUCCUCCUUUUACAUUUCCCAUGUCCGUUGAUGCCUGGCAUUUGAACAUUCUCUUUCAUUAAAAUCUUUAUAAAAAUGCAAAUGUUUCUCUUUCUAAGCCUAGUCAAGUUCUCACUAUAUGCUGACUCAAUGUAUCAACCACUAUUGGAAAGAUCUCUGUUAGCUGCCUGCCCCGGACCACUUCAGGGAAUUGAAUGGUUCCAUCAGUCUGAGCAUGCUCAGUGUGACUGCAAGACACCAUUGUGCAUAUGCUUUGUAUGUCGGGGUCAGGGUUACAUAUAUAUUUAUAUAUAUUGGGAGGGGCAGGGUGGGAUGAAGAAAUAAUCAGCGUAAGCCACACCCAUGUGUGUGAAUGCCCCUGGAGUAUUUUGUGUGUGAGUGCGCAAGUGUGUGUGCGCGCGCAUGGGAGUGUCUGAUAAUUUUAUCCCUCUCUUCUGGAAAUUUGUGAGUUUUACUUUUUCCUGCAGAAGCAAUUGUUACAGAAAUUGUAAAUAAGAGCUACAUAACUUGUUUCACCAUGAACAUGUCAUAAAAGCCCUACAUAACUACCCUGAAAUAAAUGCAGAAGAGACUCCAAGUUGGGCAUUGAGCCCAUGAUUUCAGCAAGGCACCACUCAGUGGUAUGCAAUGAAUAAUUAUCUUCAGUGUUCACAACACCAUUGGGCUUUUGUUAAA
Pelodiscus sinensis (Chinese soft-shelled turtle) is the source of this 5360-nucleotide non-coding RNA. Lineage: Eukaryota; Metazoa; Chordata; Testudines; Trionychidae. The record is from RefSeq and is a predicted model, not a curated record.